ACGCUGGCGGCGUGCCUAAUACAUGCAAGUCGAACGAGAGCGACCGGUGCUUGCACUGGUCAAUCUAGUGGCGAACGGGUGAGUAACACGUGGGUAACCUGCCCAUCAGAGGGGGAUAACAUUCGGAAACGGAUGCUAAAACCGCAUAGGUUCUUGAGUCGCAUGACCCGAGAAGGAAAAGAGGCUUCGGCUUCUGCUGAUGGAUGGACCCGCGGUGCAUUAGCUAGUUGGUGAGGUAACGGCUCACCAAGGCCGUGAUGCAUAGCCGACCUGAGAGGGUGAUCGGCCACAUUGGGACUGAGACACGGCCCAAACUCCUACGGGAGGCAGCAGUAGGGAAUCUUCCGCAAUGGACGCAAGUCUGACGGAGCAACGCCGCGUGAGUGAAGAAGGAUUUCGGUUCGUAAAACUCUGUUGUUAGAGAAGAACAGCGCAUAGAGUAACUGUUAUGCGUGUGACGGUAUCUAACCAGAAAGCCACGGCUAACUACGUGCCAGCAGCCGCGGUAAUACGUAGGUGGCAAGCGUUGUCCGGAUUUAUUGGGCGUAAAGCGAGCGCAGGCGGUCAAUUAAGUCUGAUGUGAAAGCCCCCGGCUCAACCGGGGAGGGUCAUUGGAAACUGGUUGACUUGAGUGCAGAAGAGGAGAGUGGAAUUCCAUGUGUAGCGGUGAAAUGCGUAGAUAUAUGGAGGAACACCAGUGGCGAAGGCGACUCUCUGGUCUGUAACUGACGCUGAGGCUCGAAAGCGUGGGUAGCAAACAGGAUUAGAUACCCUGGUAGUCCACGCCGUAAACGAUGAGUGCUAAGUGUUGGAGGUUUCCGCCCUUCAGUGCUGCAGUUAACGCAUUAAGCACUCCGCCUGGGGAGUACGACCGCAAGGUUGAAACUCAAAGGAAUUGAC
Molecule: ribosomal RNA, 900 nt
Filed under: uncultured bacterium
Lineage: Bacteria
Description: bacterial SSU rRNA
Rfam family: Bacterial small subunit ribosomal RNA
Source: RNAcentral